AGAGAAGAUCGGACGGUCGCCGGCCGUGGCAACACGGCGGGAGGAAAGUCCGGGCUCCGCAGGGCAGGGUGCUGGCUAACGGCCAGGGGGGGCGACCCCACGGAAAGUGCCACAGAAACAUACCGCCGCCGCAAGGCGGUAAGGGUGAAACGGUGAGGUAAGAGCUCACCAGCGGCGCGGGUGACCGCACCGGCUAGGCAAACCCCACCCGGAGCAAGGCCAAAUAGGAGAGCGAUCGGACGGCCCGUCCGUGGCUCUCGGGUAAGGCCGCUCGAGACGCCGGGCAACC
RNAcentral lists this RNase P RNA (289 nucleotides) under Candidatus Rokuibacteriota bacterium. RNAcentral describes it as "Candidatus Rokubacteria bacterium partial RNase P RNA component class A". It matches the Rfam family "Bacterial RNase P class A", at positions 1 to 297 of the family's 367-position model. From Rfam's summary of the family: Ribonuclease P (RNase P) is a ubiquitous endoribonuclease, found in archaea, bacteria and eukarya as well as chloroplasts and mitochondria. Its best characterised activity is the generation of mature 5'-ends of tRNAs by cleaving the 5'-leader elements of precursor-tRNAs. The record is from RNAcentral. Lineage: Bacteria; Candidatus Rokuibacteriota.